CUCUACGACAAUGCCACCCUGAACAAGCCCACUCCCAUCUGAUCUUGGAAGCUAAGCAGGGUCGGGCCUGGUUAGUACUUGGAUGGGAGACCACGUAGGAAGACCAGGUGCUGUAGGCA
RNAcentral lists this ribosomal RNA (119 nucleotides) under Pteropus alecto (black flying fox). Lineage: Eukaryota; Metazoa; Chordata; Mammalia; Chiroptera; Pteropodidae. The record is from RNAcentral.